CAGCAGUGGGGAAUAUUGGACAAUGGGGGCAACCCUGAUCCAGCCAUGCCGCGUGUGUGAAGAAGGCCCUCGGGUUGUAAAGCACUUUCAGUGAGGAAGAACGCCUGGUGGUUAAUACCCAUCAGGAAAGACAUCACUCACAGAAGAAGCACCGGCUAACUCCGUGCCAGCAGCCGCGGUAAUACGGAGGGUGCGAGCGUUAAUCGGAAUUACUGGGCGUAAAGCGCGCGUAGGUGGCUUGAUAAGCCGGUUGUGAAAGCCCCGGGCUCAACCUGGGAACGGCAUCCGGAACUGUCAAGCUAGAGUGCAGGAGAGGAAGGUAGAAUUCCCGGUGUAGCGGUGAAAUGCGUAGAGAUCGGGAGGAAUACCAGUGGCGAAGGCGGCCUUCUGGACUGACACUGACACUGAGGUGCGAAAGCGUGGGUAGCAAACAGGAUUAGAUACCCUUGUAG
The sequence is a ribosomal RNA, 452 nucleotides long. It matches the Rfam family "Bacterial small subunit ribosomal RNA", at positions 349 to 793 of the family's 1533-position model.